GCAUGCUGCGGUCUGGGUCACUCUNCUUAACAUGCAAGUCGAACGAUGAAGCCCUUCGGGGUGGAUUAGUGGCGAACGGGUGAGUAACACGUGGGCAAUCUGCCCUUCACUCUGGGACAAGCCCUGGAAACGGGGUCUAAUACCGGAUAACACUCCUGCCUGCAUGGGCGGGGGUUGAAAGCUCCGGCGGUGAAGGAUGAGCCCGCGGCCUAUCAGCUUGUUGGUGGGGUAAUGGCCCACCAAGGCGACGACGGGUAGCCGGCCUGAGAGGGCGACCGGCCACACUGGGACUGAGACACGGCCCAGACUCCUACGGGAGGCAGCAGUGGGGAAUAUUGCACAAUGGGCGAAAGCCUGAUGCAGCGACGCCGCGUGAGGGAUGACGGCCUUCGGGUUGUAAACCUCUUUCAGCAGGGAAGAAGCGAAAGUGACGGUACCUGCAGAAGAAGCGCCGGCUAACUACGUGCCAGCAGCCGCGGUAAUACGUAGGGCGCAAGCGUUGUCCGGAAUUAUUGGGCGUAAAGAGCUCGUAGGCGGCUUGUCACGUCGGAUGUGAAAGCCCGAGGCUUAACCUCGGGUCUGCAUUCGAUACGGGCUAGCUAGAGUGUGGUAGGGGAGAUCGGAAUUCCUGGUGUAGCGGUGAAAUGCGCAGAUAUCAGGAGGAACACCGGUGGCGAAGGCGGAUCUCUGGGCCAUUACUGACGCUGAGGAGCGAAAGCGUGGGGAGCGAACAGGAUUAGAUACCCUGGUAGUCCACGCCGUAAACGUUGGGAACUAGGUGUUGGCGACAUUCCACGUCGUCGGUGCCGNANCUAACGCAUNANUUCCCCNCUGGGGANNCNGNCNCAAGGCUAAACUCAANGAAUUGACGGGGNCCCCNCAACNGNGGACUGUNGCUUAUUCGACGCACGNAANAACUUACAGGGUNACUUNCCGGAANCNUAAAANNUGCCCCUNGGGGCGNNANAGNGGGCUGGUGCCC
Molecule: ribosomal RNA, 982 nt
Filed under: Streptomyces sp. LK1311.4
Lineage: Bacteria; Bacillati; Actinomycetota; Actinomycetes; Kitasatosporales; Streptomycetaceae
Description: partial 16S ribosomal RNA
Rfam family: Bacterial small subunit ribosomal RNA
Source: RNAcentral